GCUAAGGAGUGAUGACACAAAAGGCCGAAUUGCAGUGUCUGUUUACAGUGUUCUCUCUAUAAAGGCACGAUGACAAAAUUCCUGAAGCGACUUUUUUGUCUGACCUUGGC
Molecule: small nucleolar RNA, 110 nt
Organism: Pogona vitticeps (central bearded dragon)
Lineage: Eukaryota; Metazoa; Chordata; Lepidosauria; Squamata; Agamidae
Source: Ensembl